Long non-coding RNA from Columba livia (rock pigeon), 1807 nucleotides. RefSeq lists it as uncharacterized. NCBI's taxonomy places the organism in Eukaryota, Metazoa, Chordata, Aves, Columbiformes, Columbidae. The record is from RefSeq and is a predicted model, not a curated record. The transcript is spliced from 3 exons.
CGGUCUGCGGCCAGCCGGGCACCGGCGGCGGGCAGGUAACGCCGCAGUGCCCCCCAGGAGCCCGGCGUGGGUUUCCCUGUCUCCCUGCUCCUACCCUUGUCCCCGAGGGGAGGCGACAACGGCCGCGACGAAGCUUUAGGUCACUGGAAACAUAUUGGAGUCAUGCUGCUUUGUCAGCUGAAGAGGAGCUCCCAGUGUGACACACGGCUAAAAGAGCAGCAGGCCCAGUCCUGGCAUCCCGAGCGCCAUCCCUGCUCCUGCGCGCCUGCCAGCCAGGGAGAAUCAGUGCCGUGAAUUUUGCAGCUACUGCCUGUGUGCACCAGUCACUGUCACCAACAGCAUUCCUGGGACUUGACACACACUGGAACACCUCUCCUACGCAUUUUUGUCUUCCGGUUUUGGCUCAUUCUGGUGGUUUUCUUAGAAAAAUGAACUAACUACGGUCAUACGACUUUAAAACGUAAAGCAGAUACUUUGGCCCCUCCGCAAAACAGUUGUAGAGUGAAAUCCUGCAGAAAUGUACAGAUGUUGUUUUGACCACCAGAGGGGGCCUGCAUUGUCCCAAAUUCAUAGAAAAAAAUGGAAAACAAUGUUUUAGGAGAGGAAGAAAACGGCAAGUAUGUAUUUGUACUCGGGUAGCGCCUACAGGCACUGAGCAAUGAUCAGCUGAUGGCAACACAUCCUAAUGAGAUGUGGGGUGAGCAAGGAGUGCUGCCUCGUACCCACUUCAUCAGCUGUGCCCAGAAGGUCUCCUACAGAGGAAAUUCUUGAGGAAUAAUAUGAGUUUUUCUGUGAAUCUGGAUGUGAAACACGAUGAGAUUAUUCUGGCUGUUGUAUUGAAGCACUGCCUCUACUGUGUUCAUUUCAGGAAAAGUAAUGCUGUAGAUGCAAGUCAAGUCUUCAAAACUGUUAUCAAAUGGCAUCAUAUUAAUAUCUCUGUUUUCAUUUCAAGUGGGACAUUUUUCAGUCAAUAUUUUAUUGACAUUUUGCAUACAUUUAAGACAGGGUUAGGCAUCCCAGCUACAGUAUGUAGAAUACACUUUGGAGAUACAGUUUCCAGUUAAUACUAUAAAAUGCAGUGAGAAAUCCUGCCACAAAAUUUAGCAGGAGUGGAAAAGCUUGAAGAAAAGAAAAGAAAAGAAAAGAGUUUUUUCCCCCUAAGAAAAUGAAGUGAUACAUAACAGAGCCUUAUAACUUUUCGUCAAUACCUACUUAGAUACUGAACUGUAAAUCUCAAAAGUACUUGUUUUUAAUUUGCCUUCAUUCUGCUUUUUUAAGCUGUGUAAAAUGAAUGCAAAGCAUGUGUAAUACCAAACCCCAUGCUUGCACACUAAAGCACCUUUUGACAGCAGAUCUCUACAUAAUCGUAUAAAUAACAAGGCAGCAGAAAUUCUAAUCCAGCAUUUAAUGUAAAAAAUCCUGUUAAUGUUCUGUGCCUUUUACAGUAGGCCAUCUAUACAAAACGAUGUCAUUAACCCCACCAUAUAGAAUUCGAAAAGAGAGGAAAGUUACUCCUGCUUGAAUGGCAAUUGACAAUCUUGCAUAUUCUUGCUUGGAAACAUUGUAAAAAGAAAACAAAUCUUCCAGUUGAAAGCCUCACUUCUAGAGUCACCCAAUAAUACAUAAAUAGGAGCACUUGGGCACACAGCAUCUGUCCCCCGCCCUGACUUAUUCAUCUAUUUGUAGCGGAUAUGAGAGCUUGUGGGUGGCCUAACAUGGUCCUCAUUCAAUUUUAUUUAAUUACUCACUUGAUUUCACUUGAAAGAACUAUUAAAAUGGCAUCUUAAUUGCUCGGUGUUAUCCAGAA